CGGGGGGCAGCAGUGGGGAAUCUUGCACAAUGGAGGAAACUCUGAUGCAGCGACGCCGCGUGAACGAUGAAGCCCUUCGGGGUGUAAAGUUCUUUCGCCAGGAACGAUAAUGACGGUACCUGGAGAAGAAGCUGCGGCUAACUACGUGCCAGCAGCCGCGGUAAUACGUAGGCAGCAAGCGUUGUUCGGAAUUAUUGGGCGUAAAGAGUAUGUAGGUGGUGUCGUAAGUUUGGUGUGAAAUCUCCUGGCUUAACUGGGAGGGUGCGCCGAAGACUGCGAUGCUUGAGUAUGGGAGAGGGAAUCGGAAUUCCUGGUGUAGCGGUGAAAUGCGUAGAUAUCAGGAGGAACACCUGUGGUGUAGACGGGUUCCUGGACCAUUACUGACACUGAGAUACGAAAGCGUGGGUAGCAAACAGGAUUAGAUACCCGAGU
This 432-nucleotide ribosomal RNA is filed under the name uncultured Bryobacterales bacterium. RNAcentral's name for it is "bacterial SSU rRNA". It matches the Rfam family "Bacterial small subunit ribosomal RNA", at positions 342 to 791 of the family's 1533-position model. The record is from RNAcentral. Lineage: Bacteria; Pseudomonadati; Acidobacteriota; Terriglobia; Bryobacterales.